AAAUUAGUGAUUUAUAAGAUUUUUGCGUUCCAAUUAAGGGGGAAGGGAGAGGUACAGGUCGUUAGCUAUCUCCACCUAGCGCUGAAUACUUUAAGCAGUUAUCCUGGCGGGGAUUGUCAACAUCAUUCCAAAUCCUAAGCAGUCUUUUGUUUUGUUUACCGUUAUAUUCGUUAAUCCUGUUCAACUGUUCCUAUCCUGUAAAAUCAGUAAAACAUUUCGUCCACUUUAUUUUAUUUUCGCUUACUUUUUCUAUCCGCUCUGUAGCCGCUUCUUUUCUACAGUCGACGUAGUCAGGGCUCGAGCUCGAGGCGUCGAACUAGUUAAAGGGCAACACUGCUUCCCACUUUCCCAGUUCUCACGGAACUUUGUCUGCAAUUCUGUUUUUCAGCUUCCGCGUUUAAGGCGUUACAGGCCGGAUAUAGAAUCCAUACGAUCUGUGUGGUAACUAACAGCACAGAUGGUGAGGCUACCAUCCCAUCUCAUCACUGUGCAAAUAAGUUUAAGCAUGGUGUAAGUGGUUUCAAUCAUCAAUCUUUCAGUGAUUUCACGCAAAAGUUUGCUUUUGUUUCUUGAUCUGCGUUGCAUUAGCUUUUUUGUAACCUAUUUUAAAUCAGUCAAUUCAAAGAAAAAUUGGAACAGCCCAUGUGCCCAGAUCACAUUGGUUCAGGAAGUCGUAGAUUGUUUCGCCUGCGUUGGAUUUUUAAAUCUCCUCUAAGAAUAAUUAGUGCUAGAGCAAGAUUUUGUUGUGUGUGGUUAUUAUUAGGUCAAAAUCAUCCCACCACUUACUGCAAUGCAACAGCAGCGAUUCUUGGCUUUUCAUGCUCAGUGUGACUGUUGGUGGUGAUGUAGAACAAGAACUUAAUGAACUGAACUCAAAAGUUUAGUGACAGCAACACCUAUCUAUGUGAACUGCCAGAUGCAAUGUUUGCCUAUUGUAAGAAGAAUUCAAAUCUGCAGUCUAUAUGGGGAUUGGCGUGGACUACAUUCCCAUUUCCCACAUCAGGCAACAAAAUGCCAAAGAAAAGCCAGUGAGAAUAACGUCAGUGUUGGUGUAAAAAAGUGCGAAAUAGACGAAAAAAACCCAGUUUUUUCUUGCGUUUUUAAGGUUUUUAAUGGAGAAGAUAGUUAAGACUGAUAACUUUCAAUCCUUUCAUUCAACAUCUUCUACAGCCAAUCUCUUUCAACAUGAACAUCAAGAUUAUUGAGUAACAACAAUUGCUAUCUUGAACUCAACAAAGAAGUUGCUAGAGAGGAAUUUCAAACCAUAGUCAAAGUUGAAAAAGAAGAAGUUGACUGCUCAACGCAAUAAAAAAAAGAAUGACAAAAUCGAAGGUGUGAUCGCCAUCAUAUUUGAGAAAAUGGUAUUUUCCUGGUGACCAACUGAACAGUUCCUCAAGUUGCGAGUCUUGCGCUAGAUGUUUGAUGUCGCUGCCACGCUUCGUCGAACUGGAUUGUUGGGAUCGUCCAAUUCUUUUAAUCUACCACGAAUUACUCAGUAUGACUUACGUCGACGAUCAGUUAAAUUUUCGUUGGGAAGACGAUAAACAAUACGCUUUAUCUUACCUGGUCAUUUUGUCCAUUGAAAACCACUGUUCACUCUGCAAAUGGAAAUCGUUGAUAUUUUAAGAUGUGUUUGGCGCCAACGUUCUAAUAAUUGUUAUAAUAAUUCCACAAGUUGGAAGGUUCCUACGCAACGGUCGAAAUUCUUGUGAAAUGUCCUCUUCCUACGAGACCAAAACCGAAAAGCUAAUUACUCUACUAGAGUCCCACUUCUUUCUUUCGUAUCCUCAGUCAUCAGAUUUGAGAUGUGGACAGUGGACCCUAUUUGAAGAACAAAUUGCUCAACACUCCUGUCACUCACAUCCUCAGCUUUAUCUGUGUCAUCCUCCCACAUCUUUGACAAAAAUUCCAACUUUUUUGCCCAAAAGUUGUGGGUCAGGCCUAUUGGCCCAUGAGGUCAGGGGGCCAGAUCUCUAAGCUCUGUGAGAAAUCAUAACAAACGUGUUGUGUUGGGUUUUACAAGAGCUCCUAGUCAAUCCGGUUGAACAAAUUUAGUUUCACCCGGAAACUUCUUUUGGUUUUUCCAUGAAAUUUAUGAUUUGGAACUCGAUGAAGUGCUGUCGAGUUUGGACCUUGGAUCGUUCUUUCGGCUGAAGAAGAUCUCGAUUUUCUCGGACGGCCCGGCACAAUAGCUCGCGUAUCUCGUCCAGAAGCAACUCGCCUAUUCACUCCCGCCAUUUGGUGAUCCAGCGAGGAAACCUUCACUCAGCCGAAUUUUCCAAUGUCGCACCAAUGGAGAUCGUGUGCACCAUUCGACAUCGGAAUCCACUGCUCCCAAGUCAAUCUACUGGACAGUGUUCUGGGAGCGCCUAUAAGCCGCAUAAUUCACAUUUCCGACUUAAGCGUCAGACAGUUGGCGUAUUGGCCCAACCGAAGCCAAUGUAGCCAACGGCAUGAGCGCAAGUAACAAUGGUUCCAUGGCCGCUGUAGAAAGUCUGGUGCUUCCACGGCCAGUUUUAGUGUUGGUAAAGGAUUUUCCAUCUCUCAUACCGUCGGUAUAUUACAGAAGUAGUCAACGGUCGAGUACAACAUUGUACAAUAGAAUACCGUUCGGUACAAACUGCUGCCAGUCAAGCAGGGGGAGACACUGUUGUCUGUUAAAGUCUGAUCUGAACUAUGGAAAAUAUUCUGUCCAGGGAAUGACGCCUUAAAAGAAAGAACUGCGGUUGCGAUCUUCAACAAUCUUGCACGAAUUUUGAUGCUGAAAGACUUGGAAACCAUGCUGUCCACCACGUCGAGAAACUGAGUAACAUUCUGUGUGUUCAAUGGCUCCUCUUAAUAAAAGGAACUGGAGCCAUCCAAUCUAGGGCUUCCACCCAAUCAUAGGCUGCAUGGAAGUCACAUUUACCUUUGCUUUGACGAACAUCCUGAACACAUACACCAUUUGAAGGUUCAUGUUUACAUAGCAGUGGUGUUGCUGUCCAAUGUGGCGUGCAGCCUAUGGUGGUGAAAGAUAUCUGCAUCAAGUUGCUGUUUCUUGUGCAUCCAAGGUGCUGGUUUUGUGCUACAGAAGUUACAUCCAGUAUUGUGUUUUAUUGCUAAUUGUUUCUUUGCAGUUUACCUUUUAUAUAUUGAGAAGGAACAAAAAAAAAUAAUACGGGGAGGUUUAUGUCAAACAAAUAAUAAACAUGUCCGCGAUUGGGGAAUGAGGAGGAAGUUGGGGUGGGAUAUUUGAUUAUCAUUUACUAAAAGAAGUUGGGUAUAUUUUAUUAUUUUUUUAAUGAAUAUGCAGGUGAUAAAAUCUGUUGUUAACCCAUAUAACCUUCUCCACUUACACAUCCAUUCCUCAAACCCCGACAUCAAAUCCCACAUCCAUUCCUCAAACCCCGACAUCAAAUCCCACAUCCAUUCCUCAACCCCUACAAUCUCCAACAUUCAAUUGCCACGAUUUUUUUAUAGCUAUAAUCAUAUUCAUAUAUAAAUAAAUAAAAUGUCAUUGGAUAUAACUUGU
This 3511-nucleotide long non-coding RNA is filed under the name Daphnia pulex (common water flea). RNAcentral's name for it is "uncharacterized LOC124194388, transcript variant X1". The record is from RNAcentral. Lineage: Eukaryota; Metazoa; Arthropoda; Branchiopoda; Diplostraca; Daphniidae.